Molecule: ribosomal RNA, 404 nt
Filed under: uncultured bacterium
Lineage: Bacteria
Description: bacterial SSU rRNA
Rfam family: Bacterial small subunit ribosomal RNA
Source: RNAcentral
UGAGGAAUAUUGCACAAUGGGCGAAAGCCUGAUGCAGCAACGCCGCGUGAGGGACGAAGGCCUUCGGGUUGUAAACCUCUUUUCUGGGGAAAGAGACAGGACGGUACCUAAGGAAUAAGUCUCGGCUAACUACGUGCCAGCAGCCGCGGUAAAACGUAGGAGGCGAGCGUUAUCCGGAUUUACUGGGCGUAAAGCGCGCGCAGGCGGUUCCGUUAGUCGGACGUGAAAGCUCCUGGCUUAACUGGGAGAGGUCGUUCGAUACUGCGGGACUUGAGGUUGGGAGAGGGGUGUGGAAUUCCCGGUGUAGUGGUGGAAUGCGUAGAUAUCGGGAGGAACACCUGUGGCGAAAGCGGCACCCUGGCCCACACCUGACGCUGAGGUGCGAAAGCGUGGGUAGCAAACAG